GAUGAACGCUGGCGGCGUGCCUAAUACAUGCAAGUCGAGCGAACGGACGAGAAGCUUGCUUCUCUGAUGUUAGCGGCGGACGGGUGAGUAACACGUGGAUAACCUACCUAUAAGACUGGGAUAACUUCUGGAAACCGGAGCUAAUACCGGAUAAUAUUUUGAACCGCAUGGUUCAAAAUUUAAAGACGGUCUUGCUGUCACUUAUAGAUGGAUCCGCGCUGCAUUAGCUAGUUGGUAAGGUAACGGCUUACCAAGGCAACGAUGCAUAGCCGACCUGAGAGGGUGAUCGGCCACACUGGAACUGAGACACGGUCCAGACUCCUACGGGAGGCAGCAGUAGGGAAUCUUCCGCAAUGGGCGAAAGCCUGACGGAGCAACGCCGCGUGAGUGAUGAAGGUCUUCGGAUCGUAAAACUCUGUUAUUAGGGAAGAACAUAUGUGUAAGUAACUGUGCACAUCUUGACGGUACCUAAUCAGAAAGCCACGGCUAACUACGUG
RNAcentral lists this ribosomal RNA (497 nucleotides) under uncultured bacterium. Its description in RNAcentral is "partial 16S ribosomal RNA". It matches the Rfam family "Bacterial small subunit ribosomal RNA", at positions 28 to 507 of the family's 1533-position model. The record is from RNAcentral.